Arabidopsis thaliana x Arabidopsis arenosa is the source of this 86-nucleotide non-coding RNA. The record is from the annotation of a GenBank genome assembly. Lineage: Eukaryota; Viridiplantae; Streptophyta; Magnoliopsida; Brassicales; Brassicaceae.
GCGACAGAAGAGAGUGAGCACACAUGGCUCUUUUUUCUAGCAUGCUCAUGCUCGAAAGCUCUGCGUGCUUACUCUCUUCUUGUCUC